Molecule: ribosomal RNA, 253 nt
Filed under: uncultured bacterium
Lineage: Bacteria
Description: partial 16S ribosomal RNA
Rfam family: Bacterial small subunit ribosomal RNA
Source: RNAcentral
UACGUAGGUGGCAAGCGUUGUCCGGAUUUACUGGGCGUAAAGAGCGCGCAGGCGGUCGUUCAAGUCGCGUGUGAAAGCCCCCGGCUCAACUGGGGAGGGUCACGCGAUACUGAUCGACUCGAAGGCAGGAGAGGGAAGUGGAAUUCCCGGUGUAGUGGUGAAAUGCGUAGAGAUCGGGAGGAACACCAGUGGCGAAGGCGACUACCUGGCCUGUUCUUGACGCUGAGGCGCGAAAGCUAGGGGAGCAAACGGG